Cyprinus carpio (common carp) is the source of this 1440-nucleotide long non-coding RNA. RefSeq lists it as uncharacterized. The record is from RefSeq and is a predicted model, not a curated record. The transcript has 3 exons. Lineage: Eukaryota; Metazoa; Chordata; Actinopteri; Cypriniformes; Cyprinidae.
GUUUCCAGUGCAGGCGUUCUUCACGACUCAAAGUCGCUGUCGCUGCUGACGGAUAUGUCUGGUGUGGAGGCCCCGGUCCCCGCGGCCCCGUGCCCGAGCUGCAGUCGCUGUUCUCCCCUGGGCUCCCGGGACGAUGCGACGCCGCUCUGUCCCGCUGUCUUCUGUUUUUGAACCAAUUGCCCACCUGAGUGGGUGUGAGUCCUGUGGCCUGGGCCAGGUGACGCUUUCUGGAGGGGUUUGGAUAGGGAUCCUGCAGAUGGUCCGAGGAAGGGGGAACUUCUUCCGGAUGCGGUACUUCUCCACCGGGCCCAGGGGCCUCCCCCGCAGGCGCUCCGCCUCGCGGUAGUGCGCGUCCAGCCACAGGUCCUGCAGCUUGGCGUGGGACUCCCGAGUGAAGCGGUGGCUCUGCAGGAUCUGAUAGAGAGCCUCGAAGUUCCCGCCGUGGAAGGCGACGAGAGCGCGGGCGCGCAUCACCGACUCGUGCCGGUUGAGCAGCUCUCCGGCGGAACCGGGCACCGCGGCGGGCAGCGACCAGAGGAAGCGACCCAAGCGCUCCAUAUCUCCAGUCUCCUCCAGAUUCUCGCAGACUCGAGCCACCUGCUCAGGUGUGAACAGCGGCAGAGGAAACAUGGCUAUGUUUAAGGGAUGCGUUUGGCGCGUCUGUUUAUAUCACCAUUGCGCGCAAGUUUAGCUUUACACUCACUCCAGGAUGCACCCGUUAUAUAACGCACCGCUAAAGCGACCGACUUCCCGGUAGGAUCUGGGGGGAAUCGCGGAACGGCGGUGUCUUCCAGUUCUAGUAAAGGAGGAGCGGCAGAAGUCAAGCCUAUUUAUAGAGAGAUUGAAUUAGCAUCUUUGCUUGUUUUGAGGAGGAUUAAGCGCCGCUCGGCGGGGGGCUGCUCGCGGAGGGACGGACGGGAUGAUCGGGUUGUUUGACUAACUGUGGAGCACAUUAACUGUCUCAGACUUAUUUCAUUCUGCUGGAUGAAUGGAAACCUGAUGCAGCCAGUGAAACCAGUUCUGGUUUAUGUAACACAUGCUAAUGCUCAGCGAUGUGAGACUUUAGUGAUAUUAUUAACGCUAUUUUAACUAUACACUCUUAAAAAUGUAUUUUGCUGGUGUUGAUUGUUCCUUGAACAUCCAUGGAACCUCUCCAUUCCACAAACUGUUCUUUACAGUGGAAAAAGAUUCUUAAAAAGUUCCUAACACUAAGAAAAGUGGUUCUUUUAAGGAACUGUUUGCUUCUUUGAGAAACCAAAGGUGGUUCUUCUGUGGCGUUGCUGUGAAAACCCACUUCUGAAACCUUUUAGUAUAUUAGUGGUUAUGAAAGGUUAAGUAUAUUAUGAAACCUUUCAAAGGUUUGUAAAUGCACCUUACUGUUCUUAUUUUAGAUAUCAAUGAUCUUGUAGGAUGCAGAAAUAUAUCAAUUUCAUUCUUGCA